This 1048-nucleotide long non-coding RNA is filed under the name Gallus gallus (chicken). Its description in RNAcentral is "lncRNA (ENSGALG00010015000.1)". The record is from RNAcentral. Lineage: Eukaryota; Metazoa; Chordata; Aves; Galliformes; Phasianidae.
AUCAGCCAGGCAGUCUCCAGCGUUGGACACAAGCAAGCAGAGAAGGGUGGUGACAGCAACAGGCCCUAUCCAGGAAGCACUUGGCAAGGCAACAGGCCAGGAAUGUUGGAUGUGCCACACUCUACCUAUUAAUUGACUUCUCAACUGAAAGGAGUGUUUUUGCAAAUACAUGAUGCUGCAGAGAAGCUGAGAAAGCUUGCUUGGGAUUCCUCCUGUGAAAUGAACUUCAGAGGCAGGCUGAUACCUAUUUUGGAGCAGUAUGGAAGAAAUAAAUGCUGUUCCCAGUAAUUAGAUGCCUCUUCUGUAAAUAAGGCUAGCAGUUGGAAGUGACAAAUUCUCCUGCAUUUAAAAAACAAUGAAAGGGAAAUUCUAUCAUUUCUCUGAAAGAUGCAUUUUAAAUUCAUCUCCUGACUAAAUCUUCAUGGCUCUUCUAUGCUGCUUUUAUUUAAAUCAUUUCUGCCUCUGGUUUCUAGCAAGUUUCUCUAAGAAUACAGGCAGUACAGAAAAGUUACAAGUAGUUGAGUUUGGUGAAGAUGUGGGUUUUCAAAUGUCCUUCAAUAUUUGCAUUUUUUUUUUUCCCACAGCGCAACUUUUGGGGUCAUUUGAGUAUGUGAAAAAUCUGAACUUCCAUUUAGAAAAAAAGGAAAAAGCAAAAAGAAGUAAGUCUUUAGCUCCUAUUACUGAAGAUAAACAUUUCAAAUAUAUGAAUUGUAAAGUCUCACAAGCCGAAAGACAAACAAAAUGAACCUUACGCUUAUUAAUUUUUAAGUGUCAUGAUAUUUAAGCCAAUCACAUAAUUUUUGAGUGUUUGUGCUCCAUGAUAUUUGAAUGUCUGGUUUCAAAAUGCUGAACUUUAUAGUAUUAUUUCCUACCUAUUUUAUAUUUAUAGUAUUGAGGCCUAAAGUUCCAAGCUUUAGCAAACUAGAAUGCUUUCUUGUCCUGGGGUGAUAAAUCCCCCCCAAAUAAUGGAAAUACUGACAGAACUUUAACUACACUGUCUCAAAUGAGACACAAUGAUUUUUAGCUUCUAAUUAAAUGCAUAUUUCUU